GAUGAACGCUGGCGGCGUGCCUAAUACAUGCAAGUCGAGCGAACAGACGAGGAGCUUGCUCCUCUGACGUUAGCGGCGGACGGGUGAGUAACACGUGGAUAACCUACCUAUAAGACUGGGAUAACUUCGGGAAACCGGAGCUAAUACCGGAUAAUAUAUUGAACCGCAUGGUUCAAUAGUGAAAGACGGUUUUGCUGUCACUUAUAGAUGGAUCCGCGCCGCAUUAGCUAGUUGGUAAGGUAACGGCUUACCAAGGCAACGAUGCGUAGCCGACCUGAGAGGGUGAUCGACCACACUGGAGCUGAGACACGGUCCAGACACCUACGGGAGGCAGCAGUAGGGAAUCUUCCGCAAUGGGCGAAAGCUUGACGGAGCAACGCCGCGUGAGUGAUGAAGGUCUUCGGAUCGUAAAACUCUGUUAUUAGGGAAGAACAAAUGUGUAAGUAACUAUGCACGUCUUGACGGUACCUAAUCAGAAAGCCACGGCUAACUACGUG
RNAcentral lists this ribosomal RNA (497 nucleotides) under uncultured bacterium. Its description in RNAcentral is "partial 16S ribosomal RNA". It matches the Rfam family "Bacterial small subunit ribosomal RNA", at positions 28 to 507 of the family's 1533-position model. The record is from RNAcentral.